This 1115-nucleotide long non-coding RNA is filed under the name Drosophila guanche. The record is from RNAcentral. Lineage: Eukaryota; Metazoa; Arthropoda; Insecta; Diptera; Drosophilidae.
UGAAAUUUGGUCACAUGAUAUUCACCUGACAAGUUUUCUGUGUUUGGGGAAAAAUUUUUACGAACAAGUAAACUUUAAGUAAAAAAAAUCAAAAGACGGCAAAAUGAAAAUCUGUGGUCCAAAAUUAUCCCUUUGUGGUUUGAUUAUCUCCGUAUGGGGAAUUGUUCAACUGGUAAGUAAAUUGGUUCUUCCAGCUGAAUGUAUGUGGUUUUAAUCACAGCUGAAAGUCACAAGGUUUCAGUUGUCUCAUGAUAUUUUUUAUCAAAUAAAUUUUAAUGUUACUUCGGUUUUAGGUGCUCAUGGGGCUCUUUUUCUAUAUUAAUAGUGUGGCCCUUAUUGAGGAUUUGCCCCUAGGAGAAGAGUACCAUACUCUCGAAGAAUUUUAUGCAGCUGCGAAUAGAGCGUACAAUCAGGUUAGUUUAUAUCACGGGAUAAAUCGGUCUGCUUGACUUUAAAAUGACCAAAAAUGUGUAUGUAUGUGUGUGUACAUAGCCAUUAAUAGCAUACAUAAGUACAUAACGCAUAUCAUAUUUCGGCUCAACCAGUAAUGUUUUGUUGCAGUAACAGGUAUUGGUUUUUUUUCAGAACGCCUACAACUGCUGGAUCGCAGCUUGCAUUUACGUUUUAACAUUGUUGCUCUCUGCGCAGCAAUUCUACAUGAAUAGCAGAGUAACUGCUAAUUAAUUAUUUCAGUUUAAGAUUUCCAACUGGUACAACUGAUAUAUAAUUUACUGGUGUGUUCAUUAAAGUUUGCACUAAAAAAGUAUUGAAAUGUUCAAUUAAAGAUAUUUGUUAAACCCUUUACAAUUAUUGUUAAUAUUCGCUUACGUGAUGUCGUUGAAGUAUAAUCUGGAGCAUUUGCUGUAAUCCUCACACAAAAGUCCACAGAUAUAAAGUUUGCACAUGUAAUAUACUUAAUUGUUUUCGUUCAUAAAAUACAUUCCGUCUUGGUUUAAUUAUUUUCAAAUAUUCGCAGUAAUGAGUAAUGAGGCUCACAAAGGUGUCGCCGCCUCUUUGGACAAAUGCAAUGUAAUGCAUUGGACAAAAAUUUAUUUCUAUGACAUCCCUUAUAAUUAACAUGUUUAUGGAAGAAUAAAUAUAAACUAACUUGAUUA